UGGGGGAUAUUGCACAAUGGGCGAAAGCCUGAUGCAGCGACGCCGCGUGGGGGAUGAAGGCUUUCGGGUUGUAAACCUCUUUCGCUAUCGAACAAGGCCCGCUUAGGGUGGGUUGAGGGUAGGUGGAGAAGAAGCGCCGGCUAACUACGUGCCAGCAGCCGCGGUAAUACGUAGGGCGCGAGCGUUGUCCGGAAUUAUUGGGCGUAAAGGGCUUGUAGGCGGCUUGUUGCGCCUGCUGUGAAAACGCGGGGCUUAACUUCGCGCGUGCAGUGGGUACGGGCAGGCUUGAGUGUGGUAGGGGUGACUGGAAUUCCAGGUGUAGCGGUGAAAUGCGUAGAGAUCUGGAGGAAUACCGGUGGCGAAGGCGGCCCCCUGGACAAAGACUGACGCUCAGGUGCGAAAGCGUGGGGAGCAAACAGG
This 420-nucleotide ribosomal RNA is filed under the name Chloroflexota bacterium. RNAcentral's name for it is "Chloroflexi bacterium partial 16S ribosomal RNA". It matches the Rfam family "Bacterial small subunit ribosomal RNA", at positions 355 to 776 of the family's 1533-position model. Lineage: Bacteria; Bacillati; Chloroflexota. The record is from RNAcentral.